GCAAAUAUAGUUUAACGAAAAACAUUAGAUUGUGAGUCUAAAUAUAGAAGUUUAAACCUUCUUAUAUGCC
RNAcentral lists this transfer RNA (70 nucleotides) under Monodelphis domestica (gray short-tailed opossum). It matches the Rfam family "tRNA". From Rfam's summary of the family: Transfer RNA (tRNA) molecules are approximately 80 nucleotides in length. The record is from Rfam by way of RNAcentral. Lineage: Eukaryota; Metazoa; Chordata; Mammalia; Didelphimorphia; Didelphidae.